Molecule: non-coding RNA, 58 nt
Organism: Dipodomys ordii (Ord's kangaroo rat)
Lineage: Eukaryota; Metazoa; Chordata; Mammalia; Rodentia; Heteromyidae
Source: Rfam
UGGCUCAGUGGUAGAGCACUUGCCUUGCAUGCCUGAGGCCCUGGGUUCGAUUCCCCAG